This 67-nucleotide transfer RNA is filed under the name Corynis sp. RNAcentral describes it as "tRNA-Leu". The record is from RNAcentral. Lineage: Eukaryota; Metazoa; Arthropoda; Insecta; Hymenoptera; Cimbicidae.
ACUAUUUUGGCAGAUUAGUGUGUUAAGUUUAGAACUUAUUUAUGUGUUUAAAAUAUCACAAAUAGUA